This 440-nucleotide ribosomal RNA is filed under the name uncultured bacterium. RNAcentral describes it as "partial 16S ribosomal RNA". It matches the Rfam family "Bacterial small subunit ribosomal RNA", at positions 338 to 795 of the family's 1533-position model. The record is from RNAcentral.
CCUACGGGAGGCUGCAGUGGGGAAUAUUGCACCAUGGGGGAAACCCUGAUGCAGCGACGCCGCGUGAGUGAAGAAGUAUUUCGGUACGUAAAGCUCUAUCAGCAGGGAAGAAAAUGACGGUACCUGACUAAGAAGCCCCGGCUAACUAAGUGCCAGCAGCCGCGGUAAUACGUAGGGGGCAAGCGUUAUCCGGAUUUACUGGGUGUAAAGGGAGCGUAGACGGCAGCGCAAGUCUGGAGUGAAAUCCCAUGGCUUAACCAUGGAACUGCUUUGGAAACUGUGCAGCUAGAGUGCAGGAGAGGUAAGCGGAAUUCCUAGUGUAGCGGUGAAAUGCGUAGAUAUUAGGCGGAACACCAGUGGCGAAGGCGGCUUACUGGACUGUAACUGACGUUGAGGCUCGAAAGCGUGGGGAGCAAACAGGAUUAGAUACCCUGGUAGUC